Molecule: long non-coding RNA, 520 nt
Filed under: Rattus norvegicus (Norway rat)
Lineage: Eukaryota; Metazoa; Chordata; Mammalia; Rodentia; Muridae
Description: long non-coding RNA NONRATT032833
Source: RNAcentral
GAAUGGCUCUCUGUCUUGAUCAGUAGUUUUCAAGUUAUAGAGCCCCUUCCCUACUGUGCACGCCCCUUACCAUGAUGCCUCUGAUUUCAACCUAAGCCUUGCUCCCUAGGGCCGCACAGCCCUCGGAUCAGCACCACCAAGCUGGACAGAGGUUGGAGUCGUAACAAUACGCAUACAUUACUUGUAGCUGUCAUUUCAACUCUCUAAGUGCAGGCAGUAACUCCUGCAGGCCUCGGCUGAAGUCCAGGGCACUCGGGUAUCUGGUCUCAAACUUGAGUGACUCUCUGCAGGAGACUCCGCAAGCUGCCCGGCUUAAUGGAGCUCAAGAUCCAAAGGUUCGUCAGAGCGCGAUGGAGUGAGUUUUAUACCCACAAUACUCCUGGAAAGUAGUGCUUUACUGCAGAAAAGCCACCCAGAGAAACAAUAAUUUUAGCAGGGUCAUGAAAAUAGGAACGUGGAAUACAUAAUAGCUUAGUUUAGAUCCCCAUCCCGGUCUGCCUCUUUUUUUUUUCCUUUUUUU